RNAcentral lists this unclassified non-coding RNA (188 nucleotides) under rhizosphere metagenome. RNAcentral describes it as "partial ribosomal RNA internal transcribed spacer region". The record is from RNAcentral.
GAGAAUAUGCCCUUCGGGGUAGAUCUCCCACCCUUUGUUUAUAUUACCUUUGUUGCUUUGGCAGGCCCGUCUUUGGACCACCGGCUUCGGCUGGUCAGUGCUUGCCAGAGGACCCAAAACUCUUAUUAUUAAUGUCGUCUGAGUACUAUAUAAUAGUUAAAACUUUCAACAACGGAUCUCUUGGUUCU